GCCAGACUCCUACGGGAGGCAGCAGUGGGGAAUAUUGCACAAUGGGGGAAACCCUGAUGCAGCGACGCCGCGUGAGUGAAGAAGUAUUUCGGUAUGUAAAGCUCUAUCAGCAGGGAAGAAAAUGACGGUACCUGAUUAAGAAGCCCCGGCUAACUACGUGCCAGCAGCCGCGGUAAUACGUAGGGGGCAAGCGUUAUCCGGAUUUACUGGGUGUAAAGGGAGCGUAGACGGCGAUGCAAGCCAGAUGUGAAAGCCCGCGGCUCAACUGCGGUAGUGCAUUUGGAACUGUAUGGCUGGAGUGCAGGAGAGGCAGGCGGAAUUCCUAGUGUAGCGGUGAAAUGCGUAGAUAUUAGGAGGAACACCAGUGGCGAAGGGGGCCUGCUGGACUGUAACUGACGGUGAGGCUCGAAAGCGUGGGGAGCAAACAGGACUAGAUACCCGUGUAUA
RNAcentral lists this ribosomal RNA (447 nucleotides) under uncultured bacterium. RNAcentral describes it as "bacterial SSU rRNA". It matches the Rfam family "Bacterial small subunit ribosomal RNA", at positions 330 to 794 of the family's 1533-position model. The record is from RNAcentral.